This 484-nucleotide ribosomal RNA is filed under the name uncultured bacterium. RNAcentral describes it as "partial 16S ribosomal RNA". It matches the Rfam family "Bacterial small subunit ribosomal RNA", at positions 30 to 507 of the family's 1533-position model. The record is from RNAcentral.
AUUGAACGCUGGCGGAAUGCUUUACACAUGCAAGUCGAACGGCAGCACGGGGGCAGCCCUGGUGGCGAGUGGCGAACGGGUGAGUAAUACAUCGGAACGUGCCCGGUCGUGGGGGAUAACGUAGCGAAAGUUACGCUAAUACCGCAUACGAUCUGAGGAUGAAAGCGGGGGACCUUCGGGCCUCGCGCGAUCGGAGCGGCCGAUGUCAGAUUAGGUAGUUGGUGGGGUAUAGGCCUACCAAGCCGACGAUCUGUAGCUGGUCUGAGAGGACGACCAGCCACACUGGGACUGAGACACGGCCCAGACUCCUACGGGAGGCAGCAGUGGGGAAUUUUGGACAAUGGGCGCAAGCCUGAUCCAGCCAUUCCGCGUGCAGGACGAAGGCCUUCGGGUUGUAAACUGCUUUUGUACGGAACGAAAAGGCUCUGGCUAAUACCUGGGGCUCAUGACGGUACCGUAAGAAUAAGCACCGGCUAACUACGUG